GACGAACGCUGGCGGCGUGCCUAACACAUGCAAGUCGAACGGAGCUCCGCCCGUUCGGGACGGAACUUAGUGGCGAACGGGUGAGUAACGCGUGAAGAACCUGCCUUUCAGUGGGGGACAACAGUCGGAAACGACUGCUAAUACCGCAUACGAUCUGAGGAUGAAAGCGGGGGACCUUCGGGCCUCGCGCGAUUGGAGCGGCCGAUGGCAGAUUAGGUAGUUGGUGGGAUAAAAGCUUACCAAGCCGACGAUCUGUAGCUGGUCUGAGAGGACGACCAGCCACACUGGGACUGAGACACGGCCCAG
RNAcentral lists this ribosomal RNA (306 nucleotides) under uncultured bacterium. Its description in RNAcentral is "bacterial SSU rRNA". It matches the Rfam family "Bacterial small subunit ribosomal RNA", at positions 28 to 334 of the family's 1533-position model. The record is from RNAcentral.